CUCUGGGUGUUUGGACUGGGAUGGCUUACGUCAGAGUAUCUAAGCCUCUGUAAGUGGAGAUCAUCAAUUUUCACAGAGAUAUGAGUCACAUUUUUUCUUUCCUGGCAAAGCUUCUUGCAGAGGUGGUGGUUUUCUCUGCUCCAGAAAUCAAGCAUCCAAUACGACAACAAGCGAAUGUUGUAGUCAUCUACCAGAUUAAAGUUCUGCAGGCUGUAAGCAUAGAGGCUCCCGAUCUUCUGGGGAGGACUCAGAAAACCUGCAAUCAUGGUGGAAGGCAAAGGGGGAGCCAAUAUGUCACAUGGCUGGAGCAGAUGGAACAGAGAGAUCGGGUAGGUGCCGCACACUUUUCAACAAGAGCUCAUAAGAACUCACCAUUGCUAUGA
This 383-nucleotide long non-coding RNA is filed under the name Callithrix jacchus (white-tufted-ear marmoset). RNAcentral's name for it is "lncRNA (ENSCJAG00000072904.1)". Lineage: Eukaryota; Metazoa; Chordata; Mammalia; Primates; Cebidae. The record is from RNAcentral.